UAAUGUGGAUGCAAAAAAGCGGGUUCCUGUGUUGCAUACCCUAUUGCGACGGAAAUUUGUGCCUAUUGUUGUGCCUUUCAACGCGGCAUCCUCUUUGGGUGCUCGGUUGGACUAGAUAGUGGGUCUUGUGUUCCUCGAACGUCUCAUUUGAUGGUUCGGAUGGACCGCGGGUGCUCACUUGCUCUCUCGGAUGCGGAACUUUCUUCAUGGGUGUUGGGGUCAUCGGCCCUUGUUCCCAAUCUCAAGCGUUUAUCGCUUUAUUGAAAUGACGCUCUAGCCUUGUCUUUGACCGCGUGGAGCUCUUGAGCUCCAUGAUGGAUCAUGCUCGGCGGACGUCGUGAAGGAAUGCUACCUGGUUGAUCCUGCCAGUAGUCAUAUGCUUGUCUCAAAGAUUAAGCCAUGCAUGUGUAAGUAUGAACUAAUUCAGA
This 428-nucleotide unclassified non-coding RNA is filed under the name Myrcia littoralis. RNAcentral's name for it is "partial external transcribed spacer". The stretch from base 350 to 428 matches the Rfam family "Eukaryotic small subunit ribosomal RNA", at positions 1 to 79 of the family's 1831-position model. Lineage: Eukaryota; Viridiplantae; Streptophyta; Magnoliopsida; Myrtales; Myrtaceae. The record is from RNAcentral.